AACGAACGCUGGCGGCAGGCCUAACACAUGCAAGUCGAACGCCCCGCAAGGGGAGUGGCAGACGGGUGAGUAACACGUGGGAACCUUCCCUAUAGUACGGAAUAGCCCAGGGAAACUUGGAGUAAUACCGUAUACGCCCGAAAGGGGAAAGAAUUUCGCUAUAGGAUGGGCCCGCGUAGGAUUAGCUAGUUGGUGAGGUAAUGGCUCACCAAGGCGACGAUCCUUAGCUGGUUUGAGAGAACGACCAGCCACACUGGGACUGAGACACGGCCCAGACUCCUACGGGAAGCAGCAGUGGGGAAUAUUGGACAAUGGGCGCAAGCCUGAUCCGGCCAUGCCGCGUGAGUGAUGAAGGCCUUAGGGUUGUAAAGCUCUUUUGGCGGGGACGAUAAUGACGGUACCCGCAGAAUAAGUCCCGGCUAACUUCGUG
This 430-nucleotide ribosomal RNA is filed under the name uncultured bacterium. RNAcentral describes it as "partial 16S ribosomal RNA". It matches the Rfam family "Bacterial small subunit ribosomal RNA", at positions 29 to 507 of the family's 1533-position model. The record is from RNAcentral.